AAUCAACGCUGGCGGCGCGCUUAACACAUGCAAGUCGAACGAGAAAGCCGGGGCAACCUGGUGAGUAGAGUGGCGUACGGGUGAGUAACACGUGGAUCAUCUACCUCUUGGCGGGGAAUACCUCUGGGAAACCGGAGACAAUACCGCAUAAGUCCGUGAGGAGAAACCUGAAAGGGGCCGAGAGAGGAGUCCGCGGCCGAUUAGCUUGUUGGUAGGGUAACGGCCUACCAAGGCGAAGAUCGGUAGCCGGCCUGAGAGGGCACACGGCCACACUGGCACUGAAACACGGGCCAGACUCCUACGGGAGGCAGCAGUGGGGAAUCUUGCACAAUGGGGGAAACCCUGAUGCAGCGACGCCGCGUGAGCGAUGAAGCCCUUCGGGGUGUAAAGCUCUUUCGACGGGAACGAUAAUGACGGUACCCGGAGAAGAAGCUGCGGCUAACUACGUGCCAGCAGCCGCGGUAAUACGUAGGCAGCAAGCGUUGUUCGGAGUUACUGGGCGUAAAGAGUGCGUAGGCGGUGCCCUAAGUCUGUCGUGAAAUCUCCCGGCUUAACUGGGAGGGUGCGGUGGAAACUGGGGUGCUUGAGUGUGGGAGAGGUAAGCGGAAUUCCUGGUGUAGCGGUGAAAUGCGUAGAUAUCAGGAGGAACACCGGUGGUGUAGACGGCUUACUGGACCACGACUGACGCUGAGGCACGAAAGCGUGGGUAGCAAACAGGAUUAGAUACCCUGGUAGUCCACGCCCUAAACGAUGCAUACUUGGUGUGAGCCAUUCAUUUGGUUCGUGCCGGAGCUAACGCGUUAAGUAUGCCGCCUGGGGAGUACGGUCGCAAGGCUGAAACUCAAAGGAAUUGACGGGGGCCCGCACAAGCGGUGGAGCAUGUGGUUUAAUUCGACGCAACGCGAAGAACCUUACCUGGGCUCGAACGGCUUCCUAACGGCUUUGGAAACAGAGCUAUCCCGCAAGGGAGUGGA
RNAcentral lists this ribosomal RNA (974 nucleotides) under uncultured Acidobacteriota bacterium. Its description in RNAcentral is "bacterial SSU rRNA". It matches the Rfam family "Bacterial small subunit ribosomal RNA", at positions 28 to 1031 of the family's 1533-position model. Lineage: Bacteria; Pseudomonadati; Acidobacteriota. The record is from RNAcentral.